RNAcentral lists this ribosomal RNA (392 nucleotides) under uncultured bacterium. RNAcentral describes it as "bacterial SSU rRNA". It matches the Rfam family "Bacterial small subunit ribosomal RNA", at positions 30 to 420 of the family's 1533-position model. The record is from RNAcentral.
AUUGAACGCUGGCGGCAUGCUUUACACAUGCAAGUCGAACGGCAGCACGGGUGCUUGCACCUGGUGGCGAGUGGCGGACGGGUGAGUAAUACAUCGGAACGUAUCCAGAAGAGGGGGAUAACGCAUCGAAAGAUGUGCUAAUACCGCAUAUUCUCUGAGGAGGAAAGCAGGGGAUCGAAAGACCUUGCGCUUUGGGAGCGGCUGAUGUCUGAUUAGCUAGUUGGUGGGGUAAAGGCCUACCAAGGCGACGAUCAGUAGUUGGUCUGAGAGGACGACCAGCCACACUGGGACUGAGACACGGCCCAGACUCCUACGGGAGGCAGCAGUGGGGAAUUUUGGACAAUGGGCGCAAGCCUGAUCCAGCAAUGCCGCGUGAGUGAAGAAGGCCUCGG